Molecule: ribosomal RNA, 253 nt
Filed under: uncultured bacterium
Lineage: Bacteria
Description: partial 16S ribosomal RNA
Rfam family: Bacterial small subunit ribosomal RNA
Source: RNAcentral
GACAGAGGGGGCAAACGUUGUUCGGAAUUACUGGGCGUAAAGCGUGUGUAGGCGGUCCACUAAGUCGGGUGUGAAAGCCCUGGGCUCAACCCAGGAAGUGCACUCGAAACUGGCGGGCUUGAGUAUCGGAGAGGUUGGUGGAAUUCUCGGUGUAGAGGUGAAAUUCGUAGAUAUCGAGAGGAACACCGGUGGCGAAGGCGGCCAACUGGACGAAUACUGACGCUGAGACACGAAAGCGUGGGGAGCAAACAGG